Molecule: ribosomal RNA, 253 nt
Filed under: uncultured bacterium
Lineage: Bacteria
Description: partial 16S ribosomal RNA
Rfam family: Bacterial small subunit ribosomal RNA
Source: RNAcentral
GACAGAGGCCUCAAGCGUUAGGCGGAAUCACUGGGCUUAAAGCGUGUGUAGGCGGAUCGUUAAGUGUCUUGUGAAAUCCCACGGCUCACCCGUGGAACUGCUUGGCAUACUGGCGGUCUUGAGCAACCUAGGGGCGAGCGGAACAAAUGGUGGAGCGGUGAAAUGCGUAGAUAUCGGGAGGAACACCAGUGGCGAAGGCGACUACCUGGCCUGUUCUUGACGCUGAGGCGCGAAAGCUAGGGGAGCAAACGGG